UACGUAGGGGGCAAGCGUUAUCCGGAUUUACUGGGUGUAAAGGGAGCGUAGACGGAAUUGCAAGUCUGAUGUGAAAAUCCGGGGCCCAACCCCGGAACUGCAUUGGAAACUGUAUUUCUAGAGUGUCGGAGAGGCAAGUGGAAUUCCUGGUGUAGCGGUGAAAUGCGUAGAUAUCAGGAGGAACACCAGUGGCGAAGGCGGUCUGCUGGACAGCAACUGACACUGAGGCUCGAAAGUGUGGGUAUCAAACAGG
RNAcentral lists this ribosomal RNA (253 nucleotides) under uncultured Blautia sp. RNAcentral's name for it is "partial 16S ribosomal RNA". It matches the Rfam family "Bacterial small subunit ribosomal RNA", at positions 524 to 776 of the family's 1533-position model. Lineage: Bacteria; Bacillati; Bacillota; Clostridia; Lachnospirales; Lachnospiraceae. The record is from RNAcentral.